This 274-nucleotide ribosomal RNA is filed under the name uncultured bacterium. RNAcentral describes it as "partial 16S ribosomal RNA". It matches the Rfam family "Bacterial small subunit ribosomal RNA", at positions 523 to 796 of the family's 1533-position model. The record is from RNAcentral.
AUACGGAGGGGGUUAGCGUUGUUCGGAAUUACUGGGCGUAAAGCGUACGUAGGCGGACUGGAAAGUUGGGGGUGAAAUCCCGGGGCUCAACCCCGGAACUGCCUCCAAAACUUCCAAUCUAGAGAUCGAGAGAGGUGAGUGGAAUUCCAAGUGUAGAGGUGAAAUUCGUAGAUAUUUGGAGGAACACCAGUGGCGAAGGCGGCUCACUGGCUCGAUACUGACGCUGAGGUACGAAGGCGUGGGGAGCAAACAGGAUUAGGAACCCCAGUAGUCC